UACGAAGGGGGGCUAGCGUUGUUCGGAAUUACUGGGCGUAAAGCGCACGUAGGCGGAUAUUUAAGUCAGGGGUGAAAUCCCAGAGCUCAACUCUGGAACUGCCUUUGAUACUGGGUAUCUUGAGUAUGGAAGAGGUAAGUGGAAUUGCGAGUGUAGAGGUGAAAUUCGUAGAUAUUCGCAGGAACACCAGUGGCGAAGGCGGCUUACUGGUCCAUUACUGACGCUGAGGUGCGAAAGCGUGGGGAGCAAACAGGG
Molecule: ribosomal RNA, 255 nt
Filed under: uncultured bacterium
Lineage: Bacteria
Description: partial 16S ribosomal RNA
Rfam family: Bacterial small subunit ribosomal RNA
Source: RNAcentral